UAACGGGACUGCCCGCGAAAGCGGGAGGAAGGAGGGGACGACGUCUGGUCAGCAUGGCCCUUACGGCCUGGGCGACACACGUGCUACAAUGCCCACUACAAAGCGAGGCCACCCGGCAACGGGGAGCUAAUCGCAAAAGGUGGGCCCAGUUCGGAUUGGGGUCUGCAACCCGACCCCAUGAAGCCGGAAUCGCUAGUAAUCGCGGAUCAGCCAUGCCGCGGUGAAUUACCGUUCCCGGGCCUU
RNAcentral lists this ribosomal RNA (243 nucleotides) under uncultured Thermus sp. RNAcentral's name for it is "partial 16S ribosomal RNA". It matches the Rfam family "Bacterial small subunit ribosomal RNA", at positions 1141 to 1382 of the family's 1533-position model. The record is from RNAcentral. Lineage: Bacteria; Thermotogati; Deinococcota; Deinococci; Thermales; Thermaceae.